CGCACCCAUGCACCCAUUUUGACUGGUUGGUGAGCGUGGGAUUUGUAGCAAGCGUGAUAAGCUUUGUAUACCUUUUGUUUCCUCUCACUUCUCCAACAUUGUAUAAUGAUAGAACCAACGAUUGUAAAUUCUUGCACACAUACUGUGAUUGGACUUAGAGACUAUGAAUUUACUUAUCGGCCAUCACUAAAUGUGACUACAGGGUUGUAUCCUUUAACCAUAUUCAACAUUCAAGAUAGUUUUCAACUUUUAGAGUUUUGUCCAGGAUGGUUCUUUUCACUUGCCAUGCAGGUCAGGCGAUGAUGACCCUAGCCUCUGAAAAUUUAUCGGGCGAUAUACAGAGAGAUGAAAGGGGAGAACUGGAGUAGACGACUUUCCACUAAUAGUGUUUCCUGGUUGUGAAGUAGGUAAUGGUCUUCUCUACACCCUAAAUUAUACAGGUUAGCGUUUUUCAUGUUCAAUAUUGCUGCAUAUGACAUGUUUCCUAAUGUGUGGUUUUUACGAUUCACACAAGAAAGCAAGCAGGUAGCGGCUAUUGUACUGGCGUUGGUUCAGUUUAAUACGAUGGCCUGUAGGGUUUAAUUUUCUUGGUUUACAAAUAUGCUUCUUCAAAGGUGUUGCGUAUUUGUGAAACCUUCUUUGAAGACGACGAGUUCGGUGGAGAACGAAAAGUUAGUUAUGGUAACUCAUCGGACCGGUUCAAAGCCGCCGGAUGGGUUGUGUCGGCUCUCUACGAAUCGAAUUCAGGCGAACAACACUGCCUUUGAUGAACUCUUAAACCACAGCGUUCUUGAUAGUUAGUGACCAAAUGGUAGCCCUAGAAACCGAUAGCACCAGAUCUAAGUUUUCAGCCGCUUCAGCCUAGUAUGCAACUUGGAUUUUUUUCUUCUUCUCAUGAGAACUGGUUCACAUUGGUGAUGCAGGUCAAAACAGGAGAUAAUGGAGUACUUUAAGAGCAGCUCAAUCAGAAGGAAAGACCUGAUUAAUGAAUGUGAAGGACUACAGGAAACGAUUAACUCUUUGAAACAACAACUUUCUGAUGCACGUCCUGAAUUUGAUGCAGAGAAAGAUGCAAAAAAAAUGUUACUUCGUCAAUCUCAUGUUGAUUACAUACUACCAUUUGCAUAUACAUGUUUAAAGGUGGUAAACUAAAUGGAUAAUAAAAGAGUACGGGUUAAAAAUUUGUUACUCAUUUGGACAAAACUGGACCUGAGUGGGUCCAUAAAGUUAAGAAUUAUAAAACCAAAUUCGGUUAGGCACAUAUAGUUACAGGUUAGAGCAUGUAGACCACUGAGCACCACAACCAAAA
This is a long non-coding RNA of Helianthus annuus (common sunflower), 1309 nucleotides long. RefSeq lists it as uncharacterized. The record is from RefSeq and is a predicted model, not a curated record. Lineage: Eukaryota; Viridiplantae; Streptophyta; Magnoliopsida; Asterales; Asteraceae. The transcript has 7 exons.